GGCCCCUGCACCUAUGCACUUGUUUCUACUUGUGUCUCCUUAGCCCUGUCAUCCUCCAAUCCAAACAUCUCAGUUUCCUCAUUGGUUUCCACAAAAAUGCCAUUCAUCUAGGCAAAGUAUCAUUUCUCCCAUGCAUAGCACAACAAACUUGCAAAUUCAUAAAAGACCUUCCUGUUAGCUCUGGUCUUGUUGCCACCCCACCUCCCAACACUUCUCUCAACAUUUCUCAUUCUCUUUAGCCAAGAAGAAUCUGGUGUCUCAUCUGUCCCUGCUUCUCCCUUCUCUCUAUCUGUUCUCCACUCUUAUCCCCUUCCAUGUGUCCAAAUUCUUUCACCUUACAUAUAAAAAGCAAUUCACUUGCCAUGGCUCCUUUCCCCAAACCCCAAACUUUCUACCAGGUACCCAGCAGACAAAAGAACUUCUAUUUAAAGUAAUUCAUCAUCUUUAGAAGAAAAUUGUGAUUAUAAAUGGCACACUUUUUCCAAUGUAUGUAACAUUUCUGGAAAUUGAAUUAAAGUGUCACAAAACCCCC
RNAcentral lists this long non-coding RNA (532 nucleotides) under Pongo abelii (Sumatran orangutan). Its description in RNAcentral is "lincRNA". Lineage: Eukaryota; Metazoa; Chordata; Mammalia; Primates; Hominidae. The record is from RNAcentral.